UACGUAGGGGGCAAGCGUUGUCCGGAAUCAUUGGGCGUAAAGCGCGUGUAGGCGGCCCGGUAAGUCCGCUGUGAAAGUCGGGGGCUCAACCCUCGGAUGCCGGUGGAUACUGUCGGGCUAGAGUGCGGGAGAGGCGAGUGGAGUUCCUGGUGUAGCGGUGAAAUGCGCAGAUAUCGGGAGGAACACCAAUGGCGAAAGCAGGUAACUGGACUAUUACUGACACUCAACUGCGAAAGCUAGGGGAGCAAACAGG
Molecule: ribosomal RNA, 253 nt
Filed under: uncultured bacterium
Lineage: Bacteria
Description: partial 16S ribosomal RNA
Rfam family: Bacterial small subunit ribosomal RNA
Source: RNAcentral